Molecule: transfer RNA, 72 nt
Filed under: Ornithorhynchus anatinus (platypus)
Lineage: Eukaryota; Metazoa; Chordata; Mammalia; Monotremata; Ornithorhynchidae
Rfam family: tRNA
About the family: Transfer RNA (tRNA) molecules are approximately 80 nucleotides in length. Their secondary structure includes four short double-helical elements and three loops (D, anti-codon, and T loops).
Source: Rfam by way of RNAcentral
AGCAGCAUGGCCUAGUGGAAAGAGCUUUGGGCUGGGAGUCAGAAGACCUGGGUUCUAAUCCCAGCUCUGCUA